ACGAGUUUUUGAAAGGGGUUGUAGCUGGCCAAAACAAGGCAUGUGCACACCCUGCUCAAUCCACUCUCAAACCCCUGUGCACUUAUUGUAGGCUAUGGUGGGAUAGCUGACUUCGGUCGGUUUGAAAGCCUUGUCUAUGUUUACUACAAACGCUUCAGUCAAAGAAUGUAAUUUAGCGUCUAACGCAUUAUAUA
Molecule: unclassified non-coding RNA, 194 nt
Filed under: uncultured Basidiomycota
Lineage: Eukaryota; Fungi; Basidiomycota
Description: sequence contains ITS1
Source: RNAcentral